UACGGAGGGUGCAAGCGUUAAUCGGAUUUAUUGGGCGUAAAGGGCGCGUGGGCGGGGAAGCAAGUUAGAUGUGAAAUCCCGGGGCUCAACUCCGGACCCGCAUCUAAUACUGCUUCUCUAGAGGAUGGAUGGAGAAAAGGGAAUUCCACGUGUAGCGGUGAAAUGCGUAGAUAUGUGGAAGAACACCAGUGGCGAAGGCGCUUUUCUAAUUUAUUCCUGACGCUGAAGCGCGAAAGCAAGGGGAGCAAACAGG
RNAcentral lists this unclassified non-coding RNA (253 nucleotides) under uncultured Chlamydiales bacterium. RNAcentral's name for it is "contains 16S-23S intergenic spacer region". It matches the Rfam family "Bacterial small subunit ribosomal RNA", at positions 524 to 776 of the family's 1533-position model. Lineage: Bacteria; Pseudomonadati; Chlamydiota; Chlamydiia; Chlamydiales. The record is from RNAcentral.